AAUUGCGGCUCCUACCGAAAAUGACCGAAAAACGGACAACGAUUUUCGGAAAAUUUCCUGAAUAAAAAACACGAUUUCAAAGAAGUAUUUCUAAGUAAAUAUUUGACUGAAUGCCCUAAUUUUGAAUUCUUUACACCUUUGAAAUGUCUGCUAUUCAUCUAUCAUGCAAUUGAUUUGAUCAAAAUUGUUAAAAGCUGCGGUUAUUUGGUUUUAAAUAGAUGUGUAAAAACGGCGAAUAUGUGUUCCCAUAUGACAAAAAUAUCUGGAAAUUUCAAACACCCUUUAAUCUAACUUUUCAGAUGAUUUCUCUUAAA
Molecule: long non-coding RNA, 314 nt
Filed under: Mytilus galloprovincialis (Mediterranean mussel)
Lineage: Eukaryota; Metazoa; Mollusca; Bivalvia; Mytilida; Mytilidae
Source: RNAcentral